ACCCUGUUAGCUCAAUAGGUAGAGUGUUGGACUUUUAAUCCAACGGUUACGGGUUCGAGUCCCGUGCAGGGUG
Molecule: non-coding RNA, 73 nt
Organism: Encephalitozoon intestinalis ATCC 50506
Lineage: Eukaryota; Fungi; Microsporidia; Unikaryonidae
Source: the annotation of a RefSeq genome assembly